GGAGUGGGCUAAGCGGUCGCUCUGAGUUUCACGACUUGGAGAGGAAAGUCCGGGCUCCAUAGAGCGCGGUGGUGGGUAACGCCCACCGUCCGUAAGGACAGGGAAAGUGCCACAGAAAAGAUACCGCCGACCUGCUUCGGUAGGUCGGUAAGGGUGAAAUGGUGCGGUAAGAGCGCACCGCGGCGAGGGUGACCCCGUCGGCAAGGCAAACCCCACCGGGAGCAAGGCCAAAUAAGAGAGCAGGACCGGCUCGGUCUGCGAUGACUCUCGGGUAGGCCGCACCGAGGCGGCUCGGCAACGACCGCCCCAGAGAAAUGACCGUUCACGACAGAACCCGGCUUAUCGGCCCGCUCCGCUA
Molecule: RNase P RNA, 358 nt
Filed under: bacterium
Lineage: Bacteria
Description: RNase P RNA component class A
Rfam family: Bacterial RNase P class A
About the family: Ribonuclease P (RNase P) is a ubiquitous endoribonuclease, found in archaea, bacteria and eukarya as well as chloroplasts and mitochondria.
Source: RNAcentral